This 1460-nucleotide ribosomal RNA is filed under the name uncultured Thermosporothrix sp. Its description in RNAcentral is "bacterial SSU rRNA". It matches the Rfam family "Bacterial small subunit ribosomal RNA". The record is from RNAcentral. Lineage: Bacteria; Bacillati; Chloroflexota; Ktedonobacteria; Ktedonobacterales; Thermosporotrichaceae.
UGGCUCAGGAUAAACGCUGGCGGCGUGCCUAACACAUGCAAGUCGAACGUUCUCUUGUUUUUCCGGAAGCAAGAGGGAGUGGCGGACGGGUGAGUAACACGUGGGAGCCUGCCCUCGGGUGAGGAAUACCACCGGGAAACCGGUGACAAGACCGCAUACGUUCCCCUGCGGGGGAGCAAAGCUUCUCUUUUCGGAGAGGGGCGCCUGGGGAGGGGCCUGCGGCCGAUUAGCUAGCUGGUGGGGUAAGAGCCUACCAGGGCGACGAUCGGUAGCUGGUCUGAGAGGACGAGCAGCCACACUGGGAUUGAGAACGGCCCAGACUCCUACGGGGGGCAGCAGUGAGGAAUUUUCGGCAAUGGGGGCAACCCUGACCGAGCAACGCCGCGUGCAGGAAGACGGCCUUCGGGUUGUAAACUGCUUUUCUGUGGGACGAGGAAGGACGGUACCGCAGGAACAAGCUCCGGCUAACUACGUGCCAGCAGCCGCGGUAAGACGUAGGGAGCCAGCGUUGUCCGGAGUUACUGGGCGUAAAGGGCACGCAGGCGGUCAGCCGCGUUGCUACUGACAGCCGGUGGCUUAACUGCCGGAGGCGUAGCAAAACGGGUUGACUUGAGGCUCAGAGAGGCAAACGGAAUUCCGCGUGGAGCGGUGAAAUGCGUAGAGAUGCGGAAGAACACCAAAGGCGAAGGCAGUUUGCUGGCUGAGACCUGACGCUCAGGUGCGAAAGCCAGGGGAGCGAACGGGAUUAGAUACCCUGGUAGUCCUGGCGGUAAACGAUGACCACCAGGUAUGCGGAGGAUCGACCCUCUGCGUGCCGGCGCUAACGCACUGAGUGGUCCGCCUGGGGAGUACGGUCGCAAGAUUAAAACUCAAAGGAAUUGACGGGGACCCGCACAAGCAGCGGAGCGUGUGGUUUAAUUCGAUGCAACGCGAAGAACCUUACCAACGUUUGACAUGCUCUCGCACCUGCUAGAGAUAGCAGUGCCCGCAAGGGACGGGAGCACAGGUGCUGCAUGGCUGUCGUCAGCUCGUGCCGUGAGGUGUUGGGUUAAGUCCCGCAACGAGCGCAACCCCUGUGGCCGGUUGGAUUCUCCGGCCAGACUGCCCCGAUCAACGAGGAGGAAGGUGGGGAUGAUGUCAAGUCAGCACGGCCCUUACACGUUGGGCGACACACACGCUACAAUGGCACCGACAACGAGGAGCCAACCCGCGAGGGGGAGCCAAUCUCAGCAAACGGUGUCUCAGUUCGGAUUGCAGGCUGCAACCCGCCUGCAUGAAGUCGGAGUUGCUAGUAACCGUGAGUCAGCACAUCACGGUGAAUACGUUCCCGGGUCUUGUACACACCGCCCGUCACACCACGAAAGUCGGUCACACCUGAAGCCCUCGGGCUAACCCUUCUCGAAGGGAGGCAGAGGUCGAGGGUGGGGCUGGUGAUUGGGGUGAAGUCGUAACAAGGUAGC